RNAcentral lists this ribosomal RNA (292 nucleotides) under uncultured bacterium. RNAcentral's name for it is "partial 16S ribosomal RNA". It matches the Rfam family "Bacterial small subunit ribosomal RNA", at positions 505 to 796 of the family's 1533-position model. The record is from RNAcentral.
GUGCCAGCAGCCGCGGUAAUACGUAGGGUGCGAGCGUUGUCCGGAUUUAUUGGGCGUAAAGAGCUUGUAGGUGGCUCGUUGCGUCGGGAGUGAAAACCCGCGGCUCAACCGCGGGCCUGCUUCCGAUACGGGCGAGCUAGAGUUCGGCAGGGGAGACUGGAAUUCCUGGUGUAGCGGUGGAAUGCGCAGAUAUCAGGAGGAACACCGGUGGCGAAGGCGGGUCUCUGGGCCGAUACUGACACUGAGAAGCGAAAGCGUGGGGAGCGAACAGGAUUAGAUACCCUGGUAGUCC